GACGAACGCUGGCGGCGUGCUUAACACAUGCAAGUCGAACGGAAAGGCCCUGCUUUUGUGGGGUGCUCGAGUGGCGAACGGGUGAGUAACACGUGAGUAACCUGCCCUUGACUUUGGGAUAACUUCAGGAAACUGGGGCUAAUACCGGAUAGGAGCUCCUGCUGCUUGGUGGGGGUUGGAAAGUUUCGGCGGUUGGGGAUGGACUCGCGGCUUAUCAGCUUGUUGGUGGGGUAGUGGCUUACCAAGGCUUUGACGGGUAGCCGGCCUGAGAGGGUGACCGGCCACAUUGGGACUGAGAUACGGCACAGACUCCUACGGGAGGCAAGAGUGGGGAAUAUUGCACAAUGGGCGGAAGCCUGAUGCAGCAACGCCGCGUGCGGGAUGACGGCCUUCGGGUUGUAAACCGCUUUCGCCUGUGCCGAAGCGUGAGUGACGGUAAUGGGUAAAGAAGCACCGGCUAACUACGUG
Molecule: ribosomal RNA, 468 nt
Filed under: uncultured bacterium
Lineage: Bacteria
Description: partial 16S ribosomal RNA
Rfam family: Bacterial small subunit ribosomal RNA
Source: RNAcentral